GUGAAUCAUCGAAUUUUUGAACGCAAAUUGCACUCUCUUUUGAGAGUAUGCCUGUUUGAGGGUCAGUAAUAAUAAAAUCGGGGUGUUGCUUUCUUUGUGACGCACUGGAGAUUGGGCUACCUUUAACUUUCGGGUUUAGGAUGCGGAAACUUGAACUUUUGUGCUCACUUUUAGACGUACAUAAAUUUAUUUUAUCGUAUAUUCUGGUGCCAAUUAUCUAUUAGGUGCGUUCCUGUUAUAUGAUCUCGUGCCUAUACUU
This 259-nucleotide unclassified non-coding RNA is filed under the name Glomeraceae sp. RNAcentral's name for it is "partial contains 5.8S ribosomal RNA and internal transcribed spacer 2". The stretch from base 1 to 65 matches the Rfam family "5.8S ribosomal RNA", at positions 84 to 154 of the family's 154-position model. The record is from RNAcentral. Lineage: Eukaryota; Fungi; Glomeromycota; Glomeromycetes; Glomerales; Glomeraceae.